GACGAACGCUGGCGGCGUGCUUAACACAUGCAAGUCGAACGGAAAGGCCCUGCUUUUGUGGGGUGCUCGAGUGGCGAACGGGUGAGUAACACGUGAGUAACCUGCCCUUGACUUUGGGAUAACAUAAGGAAACUGGGGCUAAUAUCGGAUAGGAGCUCUUGCUGCACGGUGGGGGAUGGAAAGUUUUGGCGGUUGGGGAUGGACUCGCGGCUCAUCAGCUUGUUGGUGGGGUAGUGGCUUACCAAGGCUUUGACGGGUAGCCGGCCUGGGAGGGUGACCGGCCACAUUGGGACUGGGAUACGGCCCAGAGUCCUACGGGGGGCAGCAGUGGGAGAUAGUGCACGAUGGGCGGAAGCCGGAUGCAGCGACGCCGCGUGCGGGAUGACGGCCUUCGGGGUGUAAACCGCUUUCGCCUGUGACGAAGCGUGAGUGACGGUAAUGAGUAAAGAAGCACCGGCUAACUACGUG
RNAcentral lists this ribosomal RNA (468 nucleotides) under uncultured bacterium. RNAcentral's name for it is "partial 16S ribosomal RNA". It matches the Rfam family "Bacterial small subunit ribosomal RNA", at positions 28 to 507 of the family's 1533-position model. The record is from RNAcentral.